RNAcentral lists this long non-coding RNA (764 nucleotides) under Marmota monax (woodchuck). Lineage: Eukaryota; Metazoa; Chordata; Mammalia; Rodentia; Sciuridae. The record is from RNAcentral.
UAAUUCAAAUACAACAGUUUUAGCUAAUGAGAGACUUGAAUUUUCCCUGAGAUGUCAAGGAAAUUUGAUGUACUGCCAAAUCUUCCAGGCUGACUUGGGAGGCAUGUGCAGGAGCCUCUUCACUCAGGUUACUUUACCUAUGGCUUUCUUCUUGGGAUAUCAGAAAAAAAUACCAUUCUGUUUUUAAAAUCUUAAGACUGAACUGUGGCAUAAAACAUUGUUUUAGAGGAACUUACAACAAGAAUCACGUGAGUAUAGAAGAGAACCUGAGACAUCAAUCUGCUGAGAGCUCUGGGGGCCUAGAGCAUGGUCCUGUGAUCUACUUAAAGAUUAAAAGAUUGUGGAACUUUCAUUGAAAUGUGGUGUUUGCAGCUCUGUGAGAGAAAAUGCCCGAAAUGAGUCUGGUAGACUGGCUGCAUGCAGCACAACACACAUGGGCAGAUAUACCAGGAAUGUUCAACCCACUCUGCUGAGAGGCAUUUGGAGUUGUUGUCCACAUUAUCACCACAUAUGUGGUUGGUGGCACCCCCCGCCUAGGGAUUACUGUAGAGUCCUGAGGGCAACCCCCUUUUAGAAGUGAGAGACCAGAAACAGCUGCAUGUCUUGUACCUCAAAGUCACAUAGCCAGCUCUCCUCAAAGAGUGGUGGAAGAUUACCCUGAUCAUAUGGGCUCACGAUAGUGAAUGACAGGAAUGUGCUCAAAGCUUUCUUCAGGAAAAGAUGUGUUUUGCCUUUUGCACAGUUUGUAGCAUUUAGGGCCACAG